RNAcentral lists this long non-coding RNA (241 nucleotides) under Phoenix dactylifera (date palm). RNAcentral's name for it is "long non-coding RNA (PDAC_LNC014521)". The record is from RNAcentral. Lineage: Eukaryota; Viridiplantae; Streptophyta; Magnoliopsida; Arecales; Arecaceae.
GGACUUCAGGUCAAUGAGAGAUUUGAAAACAGCGAGAGAUUCCUGAAUGUUGGAGAUGGAAGAUCUGUUCCAGUUCUAGCUUUAGAAAAUCUCAAACUUGUUUUCAAUUCUCAUGUAGUUGUCUUGAGUGAUUGUCGCUAUUGUCCUACAUUCUGUUCUUAUUGAAUGUAAUUUCCGUAGGCCUUUUGGCCAUGAACGGUUAUGAAAUUUCAAUAAAGAAAUGUUCUUGUGAUAUCAUUAU